ACAAGCUUGACGUCACUUGUUGAAGAUAACACACAAGACACCGAGGAGUGACGCAGAGCAGCGGACUUCUCCCUUCUGAUGGCGGAUCCCCCUCGGUGAGUGGACUCUUCCUCAGUGGCGGAUUUCUCCUCAGAAGCGCAGACUUCUCCUGGGCGUCUCGGCAGCGAGCUAUAGAUUUAGAAAAGCAGGUCUUUUUCAGGACAAAUAUUCUCACA
This is a long non-coding RNA of Triplophysa dalaica, 215 nucleotides long. RefSeq lists it as uncharacterized. The transcript is spliced from 2 exons. The record is from RefSeq and is a predicted model, not a curated record. NCBI's taxonomy places the organism in Eukaryota, Metazoa, Chordata, Actinopteri, Cypriniformes, Nemacheilidae.